GCAGCCAUGGGUGGGGGAUCCUCCGGCGUGUGUGCUGCGGCGCUCACCGUUUCCUCAUCGACCGCCAUCAGGAACCGGGAGCCGUGCCGGGCUUUCCCGAGGCCAGGUGGCAAUCGAGGCCAGGUGGAUGGCCCCACGGCGUGGAAGGGCUCACCGAGCUCUUCUGGAAGACGUCCCGGUAAAGGCAGUUGUGAAAGCCGGCCUCUGCCUGUCUGGAACGGGACCCUCAUUUCCCUGAACCAUUAUCGAUUUACCUAAUAUGGGUACAGCCGACCUAAUAGACGGCAGUCCACAUCUAUCUCAGAAUUGUUCUCCAGCCUCGAAAAUGCAUCUUGAGAAGAAUAAGGAAGAAAGGCCAUUGUUUUUGUUGUUUAGUCUAGGCAAGCCAAGAUGCCCAAGCUAGAAGAGACCUUCAGGGUGCCCUUUUCAGCCUAUUUCAUGGAACUUCUGUGGGACGCGAGAAGAUGAGGAAGUGAGACUCCAGCCAUGUCGAAAAACAGAAUCAGGUUUGAAGCCUGCUCUUUCACCUCCCACCUAAAGUGAAUCAGCAGUUUCUGGUUCUUGGUCCAAGCUGCUGUGCAUCUCAGGACCGAUGCGGUGUGUCUGGUAGGCGUCCUCCUCCCAGACAAAGGAACUCGGCUGUGCCUGAGGUUUUUUUGACCCCUGAAUAUAAUAAACCAUGGAUGUCUCAGCUAGCUAGAGGGAAGCAUACCUGCUAACCAAAUACUUUGGAAGUAGAGGCAAGAAAGAAGAUCAAGAAUUCAAGACCUGCCUGGGCUACAAGCUGUCCAGUCUCAAAAUAAAUACAGUUCUAU
This is a long non-coding RNA of Psammomys obesus (fat sand rat), 815 nucleotides long. RefSeq lists it as uncharacterized. The record is from RefSeq and is a predicted model, not a curated record. NCBI's taxonomy places the organism in Eukaryota, Metazoa, Chordata, Mammalia, Rodentia, Muridae. The transcript is spliced from 4 exons.